UUAGAUAUUGCUAAACUGAAAAAACAAGUUUUUGAGGCAUCUCAGGCUCAUCUCACCCUAUUGCCUGGAGCUGAUAUUCUUGCUGGAGCCUCUGAUGGCCUUUCUAAUACCAAUCCUUUAAAGUGGAUUGAAACCAUAGGUGGAUCAACAAUUGCAAAUUUUAUUUUGGUUUGUGUCUGUUUAUGUUGCUUGUUUUUAGUCUACAGAUGCAGAUGGUGCCUUGGGAGAGAAACCAGACACCAUGAAUGAGCCAUAAUAGCAAUGGCAGUUAUUAAUAAAAAAAAAUCAAUAGAGGCAAAAAAGGGGAACAUGUGGGAAAGUGUUUCUGGGGUGCCAGUUGAGUUGGUCUCCCCUGUGUGAGACACCCAUGGGAAGCCAUGGGCAGCCUCUGGGGAGAAAAGUCUCCUUAUUGCUUUCAUGUCUUUAUGCCCCAAGAGCAUAACCACUCAGCAGCAUUCCACAGGUUGCUCAGGGAGACAACACUCCCUUGAAGCAGUGGAGUAUAAUCAAACAUCUUGGCUCCUCCUUAAACCCGCUCCCACCCAUUUCAGUCCUGAUAAGCUAAAGAUCUUAAGUAGUUUAGACACACGCCUUUGCUCAAGGAAAUUCACAGAAACCGCCACUGCUACACAUCUUAUGGAAUGACUCACGAGUUCUCCUUCACUGAUUAAUCCUUUUCCUCAUCCCUUCCUCCCCCUCCCAUCUGCCCUAAGAACAAAGAGCUUGUAAACCAGUAAAUUUGGCAGAGCUCAAGAGCUCUGGGCCGUGAGCAAGCCUCCGAUAUUCUGGUCCCCUGAACCCGCCUUUUAAAUGCUUAUUCUGUCUCUUUCUAACUCCUAUGUCUCCACCAGACUCAGGGUACCCACUGGGUGGUGUGGGGCUGGUUUCCCUAACAUUCCCCACCAAAUAAAGCAGCUCCAACCUUCUAGAUGGUUGCUCAGCUCAGAAGUCUUAGAGAAAUUCUGAUGCCUCUCCUCACAUUUGCUCUGUCGGCAAAUCCUGGUGUCACAAGAGGGCUCAGGAGGGUUUCUGGAUGCCAACGAGACCCCAGCCACAGCCGGUCCCCAGAUUCUUGACAUCAUCACAAGAAAGAAUUCACAGGGUUGCUUCAGCGUCCUCACAACAGGAUGGCUGACUUCCCCAAGAGAGCAGCUCAAGAGAGAGCAAGGAGAAAGACACAACAUCUUUAAUGAUCUAUGCUUGGAAGCUAUAUGUUGCCACUUUUGCAAUAUCCUACAGAUCGCUUAGCUCCAUCCAACAUGGAAAGGGAUCAGACACGGGCAUCAUUGCCAGAUGAUAAUCCCUGAUGGUCAUCUUGGAUGCUGGCCACCACAGUUACAUUUGAGAUGGUGCACAAGAAGGCUCUCGCCAGAUGCUGGUCUUGUGAUCUUGGACUUCCCAGCCUCCAGAACUAGAAGCUGGCAUCGCUUGGGGGAAGAUGUACACUGCAAACUGUCUACAGAGCUAGUUACAAUAUUUCAUCUACGUCAUGAGCUUUGGGGAUGAGCUAGAGAUGAAACUCCCCAAGGCCAGAGAAGAUGGCAGAGCCAUGAGAUGGAAGGCGCCUGGGCCGCUGAAUCACCACAUGGAAGGUCACUCAUGACAGGAUCCUCGAAGGACCAUGGUGCAAGAAAGAAGUAAGAUUCUGGUCCAGGCUCGGUGGCUCAUGCCUGUAAUCCCAGCACUUUGGGAGGCUGAGAUGGGAAAAUUGCCUGAGGCCAGGAG
RNAcentral lists this long non-coding RNA (1725 nucleotides) under Homo sapiens (human). RNAcentral describes it as "HSALNT0384843". The record is from RNAcentral. Lineage: Eukaryota; Metazoa; Chordata; Mammalia; Primates; Hominidae.